RNAcentral lists this ribosomal RNA (431 nucleotides) under uncultured bacterium. RNAcentral describes it as "partial 16S ribosomal RNA". It matches the Rfam family "Bacterial small subunit ribosomal RNA", at positions 29 to 507 of the family's 1533-position model. The record is from RNAcentral.
AACGAACGCUGGCGGCAGGCUUAACACAUGCAAGUCGAACGCCCCGCAAGGGGAGUGGCCGCCGGGUGAGUAACGCGUGGGAAUCUACCCAUCCCUACGGAAUAACGCAUGGAAACGUGUGCUAAUACCGUAUACGCCCUACGGGGGAAAGAUUUAUCGGGGAUGGAUGAGCCCGCGUUGGAUUAGCUAGUUGGUGGGGUAAAGGCCUACCAAGGCGACGAUCCAUAGCUGGUCUGAGAGGAUGAUCAGCCACAUUGGGACUGAGACACGGCCCAAACUCCUACGGGAGGCAGCAGUGGGGAAUAUUGGACAAUGGGCGCAAGCCUGAUCCAGCCAUGCCGCGUGAGUGAUGAAGGCCUUAGGGUUGUAAAGCUCUUUCACCGGAGAAGAUAAUGACGGUAGCCGGAGAAGAAGCCCCGGCUAACUUCGUG